GCAAGCGUUGUCCGGAAUCAUUGGGCGUAAAGGGUACGCAGGCGGAUAUGCAAGUCAAAUGUGAAAGGUAUCGGCUUAACCGAUAGAGUGCAUUUGAAACUGUAUAUCUUGAGUACAGCAGAGGAGAACGGAAUUCCUGGAGUAGCGGUGAAAUGCGUAGAUAUCAGGAAGAACACCAGUGGCGAAAGCGGUUCUCUGGGCUGUUACUGACGCUGAGGUACGAAAGCUGGGGCAGCGAACGGGAUUAGAUACCCCGGUAGUCCCAGCUGUAAACGAUGGACACUAGGUGUUGGGGGUUCGAUUCCCUCAGUGCCGCAGUUAACGCAUUAAGUGUCCCGCCUGGGGAUUACGGUCGCAAGACUGAAACUCAAAGGAAUUGACGGGGGCCCGCACAAGCGGUGGAGCAUGUGGUUUAAUUCGAUGCAACGCGAAGAACCUUACCGAGGUUUGACAUCCCGUGACUACCUGUGAGAGCAGGGUUUUGGACUUUGUCCGACACGGAGACAGGUGGUGCAUGGCUGUCGUCAGCUCGUGUUGUGAAAUGUUGGGUUAAGUCCCGCAAUGAGCGCAACCCUUGUACCUAGUUGCCAGCAAGUGAUGUUGGGGACUCUAGGUAGACUGCCGGUGAAAGUCGGAGGAAGGUGGGGAUGACGUCAAGUCCUCAUGCCCUUUAUGCCUCGGGCUACACACGUGCUACAAUGGCCAAUACAGGAGGUAGCGAGAUCGCGAGAUCAAGCGAACCCUCAAAGUUGGUCAUAGUUCGGAUUGCAGGCUGCAACCCGCCUGCAUGAAGCUG
Molecule: ribosomal RNA, 796 nt
Filed under: uncultured Halanaerobiales bacterium
Lineage: Bacteria; Bacillati; Bacillota; Clostridia; Halanaerobiales
Description: bacterial SSU rRNA
Rfam family: Bacterial small subunit ribosomal RNA
Source: RNAcentral